Molecule: ribosomal RNA, 492 nt
Filed under: uncultured bacterium
Lineage: Bacteria
Description: partial 16S ribosomal RNA
Rfam family: Bacterial small subunit ribosomal RNA
Source: RNAcentral
AGUGAACGCUGGCGGUAGGCCUAACACAUGCAAGUCGAACGGCAGCACAGUAAGAGCUUGCUCUUACGGGUGGCGAGUGGCGGACGGGUGAGGCAUACAUCGGAAUCUACUUUUUCGUGGGGGAUAACGUAGGGAAACUUACGCUAAUACCGCAUACGACCUACGGGUGAAAGCAGGAGAUCUUCGGACCUUGCGCGAUUCAAUGAGCCGAUGUCGGAUUAGCUAGUUGGCGUGGUAAAGGCCCACCAAGGCGACGAUCCGUAGCUGGUCUGAGAGGAUGAUCGGCCACACUGGAACUGAGACACGGUCCAGACUCCUACGGGAGGCAGCAGUGGGGAAUAUUGGACAAUGGGCGAAAGCCUGAUCGAGCCAUGCCGCGUGGGUGAAGAAGGCCUUCGGGUUGUAAAGCCCUUUUGUUGGGAAAGAAAAGCAGCAGGUUAAUACCCCGCUGUUCUGACGGUACCCAAAGAAUAAGCACCGGCUAACUUCGUG